UGGGGGAUAUUGCACAAUGGGCGAAAGCCUGAUGCAGCGACGCCGCGUGGGGGAUGAAGGCUUUCGGGUUGUAAACCUCUUUCGCUAUCGAACAAGGCCCGCUUAGGGUGGGUUGAGGGUAGGUGGAGAAGAAGCGCCGGCUAACUACGUGCCAGCAGCCGCGGUAAUACGUAGGGCGCGAGCGUUGCCGGAAUUAUUGGGCGUAAAGGGCUUGUAGGCGGCUUGUUGCGCCUGCUGUGAAAACGCGGGGCUUAACUUCGCGCGUGCAGUGGGUACGGGCAGGCUUGAGUGUGGUAGGGGUGACUGGAAUUCCAGGUGUAGCGGUGGAAUGCGCAGAUAUCUGGAGGAACACCGAUGGCGAAGGCAGGUCACUGGGCCAUUACUGACGCUGAGGAGCGAAAGCAUGGGUAGCGAACAGG
RNAcentral lists this ribosomal RNA (419 nucleotides) under bacterium. Its description in RNAcentral is "partial 16S ribosomal RNA". It matches the Rfam family "Bacterial small subunit ribosomal RNA", at positions 355 to 776 of the family's 1533-position model. The record is from RNAcentral.